GCCGGCCGCGGUGGUGCGCCUGUAGUCCUAGCUACUCGGGAGGCUGAGGCAGGAGGAUGCUUGAGUCCAGGAGUUCUGAGCUGCAGUGCGCUAUGCCCAUCGGGUGUCUGCACUAAGUUCGGCAUCAAUAUGGUGACCUCCCGGGAGCAGGGGACCACCAGGUUGCCUAAGGAGGGGUGAACCGGCCCAGGUCAGAAAUGGAGCAGGUCAAAGUUGAUAAAAUGCAAUGAAAGCAGCAGUUAAAAUGAAAUUUAGAUGGAUUGGUGGAGUAGCUCAUACAGUAAGAGUACCUCCCUCA
Molecule: signal recognition particle RNA, 298 nt
Filed under: Castor canadensis (American beaver)
Lineage: Eukaryota; Metazoa; Chordata; Mammalia; Rodentia; Castoridae
Description: Metazoan signal recognition particle RNA (ENSCCNG00000004009.1)
Rfam family: Metazoan signal recognition particle RNA
About the family: The signal recognition particle (SRP) is a universally conserved ribonucleoprotein. It is involved in the co-translational targeting of proteins to membranes.
Source: RNAcentral